This is a long non-coding RNA of Odocoileus virginianus texanus, 393 nucleotides long. RefSeq lists it as uncharacterized. The record is from RefSeq and is a predicted model, not a curated record. NCBI's taxonomy places the organism in Eukaryota, Metazoa, Chordata, Mammalia, Artiodactyla, Cervidae.
CCCGACCCAGGGAUCAAACCCUGGUCUCCUGCACUGAAGGAAGACUGUGGGGAUGUUUCCCAAAAAGUGAAUGGGGAGCACGUGGCUUGGUUGAAUGACAGAUGCCUGCAGUGGAAAAGUUGAUGACUCCUCAGGCCUCAAGGUGUCUGAAUAAAGCCAGGAAGGGACCAAAGGAACAAGCCACGUGUUAUCUGGGAAACAGCAUCUUGGCAGCAGGGACCACAGGGAAAGAAUUUUGAUGAGCAUAGUUCCUCCAGCUCCCCAGAUCUGACACCCUUACCUAGCCAGAGGACGGUCAUCCAACCCAGAGAAGGAAAUCUUGUGUGUGGGCAGGAGGGACAGAGUAAAGCCCCCUCAUCUUGGCUCCCUCCUUUGUGCAGGGCCCCACAGGCA